RNAcentral lists this ribosomal RNA (230 nucleotides) under uncultured bacterium. RNAcentral's name for it is "partial 16S ribosomal RNA". It matches the Rfam family "Bacterial small subunit ribosomal RNA", at positions 568 to 796 of the family's 1533-position model. The record is from RNAcentral.
UACGUAGGCGGAAAAUUAAGUCAGUGGUGAAAUCCUGCAGCUUAACUGUAGAACUGUCAUUGAUACUGGUUUUCUUGAAUAUAGUUGAGGUAAGCGGAAUGUGUAAUGUAGCGGUGAAAUGCUUAGAUAUUACACAGAACACCGAUUGCGAAGGCAGCUUACUAAGCUAUGAUUGACGCUGAGGUACGAAAGCGUGGGGAGCGAACAGGAUUAGAUACCCUGGGUAGUCC